RNAcentral lists this ribosomal RNA (117 nucleotides) under Pteropus alecto (black flying fox). Lineage: Eukaryota; Metazoa; Chordata; Mammalia; Chiroptera; Pteropodidae. The record is from RNAcentral.
CCUUACAGCCAUGCCACCCUGAACAAGCCUGAUCCUGUCUGAUCUUAGAAGCUAAGAGGGUCGGGCUGGUUAGUACUUGGAUGGGAGACCACCUAGGAAUACCAGGUGCUGUAGGCG